CAGUAGCCGCGGUAAUACGAGGGGAGCUAGCGUUGUUCGGAAUUACUGGGCGUAAGGCGCGCGUAGGCGGCUUUUUAAGUCAGAGGUGAAAGCCCGGGGCUCAACCCCGGAAUUGCCUUUGAAACUGGAAAGCUAGAAUCUUGGAGAGGUCAGUGGAAUUCCGAGUGUAGAGGUGAAAUUCGUAGAUAUUCGGAAGAACACCAGUGGCGAAGGCGACUGACUGGACAAGUAUUGACGCUGAGGUGCGAAAGCGUGGGGAGCAAACAGGAUUAGAUACCCGAGUAGUCCCUGUCUCUUAUAC
RNAcentral lists this ribosomal RNA (301 nucleotides) under uncultured bacterium. RNAcentral's name for it is "partial 16S ribosomal RNA". It matches the Rfam family "Bacterial small subunit ribosomal RNA", at positions 509 to 807 of the family's 1533-position model. The record is from RNAcentral.